GCGGAGGAAAAGAACCAACUCGGAUUCCCUAGUAACGGCGAGUGAAGCGGGAAGAGCUCAUGUUGUAAAUCUGGAUGAGGGUUCCUCGUCCCGAAUUGUAGUCUAGAGAUGCGUGCUCAGCUACUCUCCAGGGCUAAGUCUGUUUGUGAAAGACAGUGUCAUGGACGGUGAUAACCCGGUUCUUGCCUUGGAUGUUGUAGCGUUUUGAGCCGUCCUCAACGAGUCGAGUUGCUUGGGAUUGCAGCUCUAAGUGGGUGGUAAAUUCCAUCUAAAGCUAAAUAUUGGUGGGAGACCGAUAGCGAACAAGUACCGUGAGGGAAAGAUGAAAAGAACUUUGAAAAGAGAGUUAAAUAGUACCUGAAACUGCUGAAAGGGAAGCGAAUGAAGUCAGUGUUGCUCUUUGUGCUCUGCAUCCUCCCUGCGGGGAUUGUGUAUCGAGGACUUUGAGCUUGUCAGGAUGAGUUCUCUGCCGCGGGAUAUGUUUUGUAUGCUGGAUGCUUUUUGCGGAACAUACAUUCUCUGUCGUGGCUUGGACUGAGGUUCCAUCUUGCCGUUGCCUGUGCGUUCCUCUCCCGUUGCUGUCUCUGUUCUACUGCUUGCAGUGCUCAGUUGCAGUAGUUGGACUGUGCGUAUUAUGCAUGCAAGGUCAGGAUCCUGACGAAUGGCUUUAUUCACCCGCAA
This 681-nucleotide ribosomal RNA is filed under the name Chattonella subsalsa. Its description in RNAcentral is "LSU rRNA". It matches the Rfam family "Eukaryotic large subunit ribosomal RNA", at positions 50 to 654 of the family's 3401-position model. The record is from RNAcentral. Lineage: Eukaryota; Raphidophyceae; Chattonellales; Chattonellaceae.